UGCGCAGGCGGUUUUGUAAGACAGACGUGAAAUCCCCGGGCUCAACCUGGGAACUGCGUUUGUGACUGCAAGACUAGAGUGUGGCAGAGGGGGGUAGAAUUCCACGUGUAGCAGUGAAAUGCGUAGAGAUGUGGAGGAAUACCGAUGGCGAAGGCAGCCCCCUGGGCUAACACUGACGCUCAUGCACGAAAGCGUGGGGAGCAAACAGGAUUAGAUACCCUGGUAGUCCACGCCCUAAACGAUGUCAACUAGGUGUUGGGAGGGUUAAACCUUUUAGUACCGUAGCUAACGCGUGAAGUUGACCACCUGGGGAGUACGGCCGCAAGGUUAAA
This 332-nucleotide ribosomal RNA is filed under the name uncultured bacterium. Its description in RNAcentral is "bacterial SSU rRNA". It matches the Rfam family "Bacterial small subunit ribosomal RNA", at positions 568 to 898 of the family's 1533-position model. The record is from RNAcentral.